CAGCCGCCGCGGUAAUACGGAGGGUGCAAUCGUUAUCCGGAUUUAUUGGGUUUAAAGGGUCCGUAGGCGGAUCUGUAAGUCAGUGGUGAAAUCUCACAGCUUAACUGUGAAACUGCCAUUGAUACUGCAGGUCUUGAGUAAAUUUGAAGUGGCUGGAAUAAGUAGUGUAGCGGUGAAAUGCAUAGAUAUUACUUAGAACACCAAUUGCGAAGGCAGGUCACUAAGAUUUAACUGACGCUGAUGGACGAAAGCGUGGGGAGCGAACAGGAUUAGAUACCCGCGUAGUCCCUGUCUCUUAUAC
Molecule: ribosomal RNA, 301 nt
Filed under: uncultured bacterium
Lineage: Bacteria
Description: partial 16S ribosomal RNA
Rfam family: Bacterial small subunit ribosomal RNA
Source: RNAcentral